GAUGAACGCUGGCGGCGUGCUUAACACAUGCAAGUCGAACGAAGCAUUUAGGACAGAUUACUUCGGUUUGAAGUUCUUUAUGACUGAGUGGCGGACGGGUUAGUAACGCGAGGGUAACCUGCCUUGUACUGGGUGAUAGCAGCUGGAAACGGCUGGUAAUACCGCAUAAGCGCACAAUGUUUCAUGACAUGGUGUGAAAAACUCCGGUGGUAUAAGAUAGAGCCGCGUCUGAUUAGCUAGUUGGUGAGGUAACAGCCCACCAAGGCGACGAUCAGUAGCCGACCUGAGAGGGUGACCGGCCACAGUGGGAAUGAGACACGGACCAGACUCCUACGGGAAGCAGUAGUGGGGAAUAUUGCACAAUGGAGGAAACUAUGAUGCAGCGACGCCGCGUGAGUGAAGAAGUAAUUCGUUAUGUAAAGCUCUAUCAGCAGGGAAGAUAGUGACGGUACCUGACUAAGAAGCCCCGGCUAAAUACGUG
Molecule: ribosomal RNA, 481 nt
Filed under: uncultured bacterium
Lineage: Bacteria
Description: partial 16S ribosomal RNA
Rfam family: Bacterial small subunit ribosomal RNA
Source: RNAcentral